Long non-coding RNA from Herpailurus yagouaroundi (jaguarundi), 708 nucleotides. RefSeq lists it as uncharacterized. The record is from RefSeq and is a predicted model, not a curated record. The transcript is spliced from 3 exons. NCBI's taxonomy places the organism in Eukaryota, Metazoa, Chordata, Mammalia, Carnivora, Felidae.
CCAAAAAGGAUAAUAUGGAAAUGAAAAGGAUGGGAGGUUGCAAUGAGAUCUUUUGGACAUACUGUUGCUGAGGAACCAAAUAUAGACUGUAGCUAAGUAAGUUUAUAUUCUGACACUAUUCUGGGGGAGAUGAGCUAGAAAGUCCCACACCUCAUCAGACCCCAGAGACUAUGAAAAACUGUUUCAUAACAGCCUCUCAUGGGAUAAAAAGAGUGAGUAGGACAGGGCCUUACAGGUUGCAACUUUGCAAAGGACCAAACGUUGUAGGACCAUAUGGCCUGCUUCAGCCCACUGCAGACAGGGUAAAACUCUUCACCAAAGAACCCCACUGACCCCUCACAUCCUCCAUAUCUAUAUUCAUUAUAGCACCCAUCUUAGCCCUCUCACUUGCCCUACCCAUAUGCAUCCCUCUACCAAUACCAUAUCCACUCAUUAACAUAAGACCAGAAGUGCUAUUUAUAUUGGGUAUGUCAAGCCUCCCCGUCUACUCAAUCUUACGGUCAAGAUGAGCCUCAAAUUCAAAAUACGCUUUAAUCAGAGCCCUCUCGGCCAAAGCCCAAACAAUCUCACACAAAGCCAUCAUCCUCCUAUCGCUCACAUCUCACACUAGCCAUCAUCCUCCUAUCAGUACUACUAAUAAAUGGAUCUUGCACACUAGCCACAUGAAUUACCGCCCAAGAACACCUAUGAUUAAUCAUUCCUGCCAGG